RNAcentral lists this ribosomal RNA (1186 nucleotides) under human gut metagenome. RNAcentral's name for it is "bacterial SSU rRNA". It matches the Rfam family "Bacterial small subunit ribosomal RNA". The record is from RNAcentral.
GGAGAGUUCGAUCCUGGCUCAGGAUGAACGCUGGCGGCGCGCCUAACACAUGCAAGUCGAACGGCACCCCUCUCCGGAGGGAAGCGAGUGGCGAACGGCUGAGUAACACGUGGAGAACCUGCCCCCUCCCCCGGGAUAGCCGCCCGAAAGGACGGGUAAUACCGGAUACCCCCGGGCGCCGCAUGGCGCCCGGGCUAAAGCCCCGACGGGAGGGGAUGGCUCCGCGGCCCAUCAGGUAGACGGCGGGGUGACGGCCCACCGUGCCGACAACGGGUAGCCGGGUUGAGAGAGAAGCCCCCGGAACCUCCGCGGCUUGGGUCCGGUAGGGGAGGGUGGAACACCCGGUGUAGCGGUGGAAUGCGCAGAUAUCGGGUGGAACACCGGUGGCGAAGGCGGCCCUCUGGGCCGAGACCGACGCUGAGGCGCGAAAGCUGGGGGAGCGAACAGGAUUAGAUACCCUGGUAGUCCCAGCCGUAAACGAUGGACGCUAGGUGUGGGGGGACGAUCCCCCCGUGCCGCAGCCAACGCAUUAAGCGUCCCGCCUGGGGAGUACGGCCGCAAGGCUAAAACUCAAAGGAAUUGACGGGGGCCCGCACAAGCAGCGGAGCAUGUGGCUUAAUUCGAAGCAACGCGAAGAACCUUACCAGGGCUUGACAUAUGGGUGAAGCGGGGGAGACCCCGUGGCCGAGAGGAGCCCAUACAGGUGGUGCAUGGCUGUCGUCAGCUCGUGUCGUGAGAUGUUGGGUUAAGUCCCGCAACGAGCGCAACCCCCGCCGCGUGUUGCCAUCGGGUGAUGCCGGGAACCCACGCGGGACCGCCGCCGUCAAGGCGGAGGAGGGCGGGGACGACGUCAAGUCAUCAUGCCCCUUAUGCCCUGGGCUGCACACGUGCUACAAUGGCCGGUACAGAGGGAUGCCACCCCGCGAGGGGGAGCGGAUCCCGGAAAGCCGGCCCCAGUUCGGAUUGGGGGCUGCAACCCGCCCCCAUGAAGUCGGAGUUGCUAGUAAUCGCGGAUCAGCAUGCCGCGGUGAAUGCGUUCCCGGGCCUUGUACACACCGCCCGUCACACCACCCGAGUCGUCUGCACCCGAAGUCGCCGGCCCAACCGAGAGGGGGGAGGCGCCGAAGGUGUGGAGGGUGAGGGGGGUGAAGUCGUAACAAGGUAGCCGUACCGGAAGGUGCGGCUG